This 399-nucleotide ribosomal RNA is filed under the name Triticum aestivum (bread wheat). RNAcentral's name for it is "partial small subunit ribosomal RNA". Lineage: Eukaryota; Viridiplantae; Streptophyta; Magnoliopsida; Poales; Poaceae. The record is from RNAcentral.
AUGCAUCGAGAAGGCACUAAUCCAACUUACAGGAGCAGUCAUGGAAGUUGGAUAUCUUCUAAAAUGUAUUCUUGUGGUUCUUGUUUUCUUUGGUCUUGCUUUUCUAGUCAAAAUUCUGGUGAUGUAUUUCCAUGUACCAAAAAAUCAAUGAUGAAAAAAAGAUAUGUGUUUGCAAAGAAAAAUGUACGCGGCCGGGAUGCGUCCGCGCGUUCGGCGCACGGCCACCGCAUCCGAGACAUGGCCCGGACACGACCCCAUUGCCCUACCCAAACGGACAUAAUCCGGGCAAAACGGAGGUCCGUUUGGGGUCGUGCAUUGGAAUUGGCCUUACAAGUGCGACCGCAGUUGAGGAAACCGACUAUCGGCAAACGCCCACCUCGCCCACCGCGCGAUGGCUGA